This is a non-coding RNA of Acanthosepion pharaonis, 97 nucleotides long. NCBI's taxonomy places the organism in Eukaryota, Metazoa, Mollusca, Cephalopoda, Sepiida, Sepiidae. The record is from the annotation of a GenBank genome assembly.
GUGAAACCCUGGUUCUCGUUUGAUCUCCAAAGUUAAGCAGACUCGAGUUUGGUCAGUACUUAUAUAGGGGACCGCUUGUAAACACCAGGUGCUGUAA